Molecule: ribosomal RNA, 435 nt
Filed under: uncultured bacterium
Lineage: Bacteria
Description: bacterial SSU rRNA
Rfam family: Bacterial small subunit ribosomal RNA
Source: RNAcentral
AUAACAGUCCGAAAGGAUUGCUAAUACCGCAUGUGGUUAUCAGAUUUAGAAACUGAUAUCUAAAGGAGCAAUUCGCUUUGGGAGGGACCUGCGUCCCAUCAGCUAGUUGGUGAGGUAACGGCUCACCAAGGCGACGACGGUUAGGGGACCUGAGAGGGUGACCCCCCACAAUGGAACUGAAACACGGUCCAUACACCUACGGGUGGCAGCAGUAGGGAAUAUUGCUCAAUGGGCGAAAGCCUGAAGCAGCAACGCCGCGUGUGCGAUGAAGGCCUUCGGGUCGUAAAGCACUUUUCUGAGAGAUGAGAAAGGACAGUAUCUCAGGAAUAAGUCUCGGCUAACUACGUGCCAGCAGCCGCGGUAAAACGUAGGAGGCAAGCGUUAUCCGGAUUCACUGGGCGUAAAGCGCGUGCAGGCGGUUCGGUAAGUUGGGCG